RNAcentral lists this small RNA (51 nucleotides) under Sinorhizobium meliloti 2011. Its description in RNAcentral is "putative ncRNA". Lineage: Bacteria; Pseudomonadati; Pseudomonadota; Alphaproteobacteria; Hyphomicrobiales; Rhizobiaceae. The record is from RNAcentral.
AUCCGCCUGCCGGCACCUUCUCCCCGCGAGCGGGGCGAAGGGACUCGUGGC